RNAcentral lists this ribosomal RNA (219 nucleotides) under uncultured bacterium. Its description in RNAcentral is "partial 16S ribosomal RNA". It matches the Rfam family "Bacterial small subunit ribosomal RNA", at positions 111 to 334 of the family's 1533-position model. The record is from RNAcentral.
UAACACGUGGGCAAUCUGACCGGAAGUGGGGAAUAACGAACCGAAAGGUUCGCUAAUACCGCAUGGUCUUGAGAAAGUAAAGGUCUUUCUAACGAGAGAUCGCUUUCGGAGGAGCCUGCGAUCGAUCAGGUAGUUGGUGAGGUAACGGCUCACCAAGCCGAUGACCGAUAGCUGAUCUGAGAGGAUGACCAGCCACACUGGGACUGCGAGACGGCCCAG